This 2101-nucleotide long non-coding RNA is filed under the name Daucus carota (carrot). Its description in RNAcentral is "long non-coding RNA (DCAR_LNC002758)". Lineage: Eukaryota; Viridiplantae; Streptophyta; Magnoliopsida; Apiales; Apiaceae. The record is from RNAcentral.
AACUGCAAAAGCUAGAAAUCCAUGAUGAGUCUACCCCAUUAGAACCGCUAACACCUGAUUCCUCGCUGUUGGUUUCAGAUUCCUCUAAUGUACAUGUACUGUAAAUGAAUACUUUAAUUGUUGGAAACAUUUCUAAAAUAUCACAUUUCUAAAAUAUCCGAAAAUGAAAAGGCUGCAAACAUACAAACGCCAUCAUAACAACAAAGAAAGUGCGCAAUUAGAUUCUUCAAAAGAAAUUAAAAAGACCAAAAUAAACAUGUAUCACAUAACAGAUUCAGUCAUUAUCACAAUAAACUCUCAAAUUAGCACAGUUUUCAGGCUAAGUACACGAUUUAAGCAGACCGAAAGAUAGAUGACCAAGCCAAGGUUUUUAUAUAAAGCAUCAAAUAAUUUUGUUUCAAAAUAUGAAUAUUUCUCAACUUUCUUGUGAGUAGCGAAAUUUGAACUCCAAAAUGGACCCCAAUUACUCCCACACAACUCAAGAAGUCAUUCAUAAUCUCCUAAUAUAUAAAAUUAAACUAAAAAAUGAAUGUUGAUAAAAAAAAAAAUGACUGCCUACAUAAAUAUAGAUCAAAACACCAACAUUAAUUGGGCAUCAAAACAGAGUUCGAUAAACUAAUUUUACCGUAACCUCUUAAUAGUGAUGCAUGUCUUAUAAGUUAUAUCCAUCAGAUUGAACACAAAAACUAUAAUAUUUAAUUUUAUUGGUGAAUUCAUACAUACUUUUCCGGAGCAUUGUAAGCAUCUGAAUCAGUACAAAACGCUUUAACUAAUCAAAAUGAUUCCUAAUCCAAAAAAUAAAAAUUGAAAAAAAUACGAUCCCACAAUAAAAGAUUAAGGUGGCACGUUCGAUGAUUGAUUGGCAUACUGUAAAUUUCUUCAAAUUCUAUACAUGUAAUUAAACAAUUUAUCCGAUAAGUAAUGGGCAAUCAAAAAUAUAUGUAUCUUACCUCCUACAAAAGAUGAACGUGGCAGUAAAAGUUGAUAUAUUCAGAAACCACAAUCUUUAGAAAGAAGGCCCUCAUCCUCAAAAAAUAGGCAAUAAUGGACAAAAUAACGUUAUUGCAGAAAAAGGGCCCCAUUAACAUUUAGUGACGUUUUUCUAGUUUCGUUAUUCUAUUUAACUGGAAAGCUACACGAUGUUCCGUUUAAGUUUUUAUAUUAAAAAAACUAGGUGAGAAAACGCGCUUCGCGCGUUUGUGAAAUAUUUUUUAAAAAUAUUUACAAGAAAAAGAAUAAAAUAUACAAAACACAUGAUCAGAGUAAAUACAAAACUCAAUGCCAAGAUUAGAAGCAACUCAAUUUUUGAAUAUGUAUGAACAUACGUCAAAGAAUAGAUUUUGCCAAUAAACUUAUUAUUGAUCGGCAGGAGAAGUUAAUACACAAAAGCUGAUAAAUUUUUUACGAAUAUGUCAUUCCAUUUUCAAUAUCUUAAUCCAUCAAAUCACAAUUUCAAAGGCAUAAUAAGUUACAGAGAAAUAAAAAUGGUGAUUUUAACCUAUUUCUUUUCCCACCAAGAUUAAUUAGAAUGAAUUGCAGAAUAGAAUCCCGUUGAGUGGGAGAAUGUUAUGGUAAUUCCAGAAAAGAAAAGGGAAAAAGAUAGCAACAUAUCUAGUUGAUACUCAACAUUUGGAGCAGAUAGUUGCAAGCCUUAGCAGCAGCGGCAAUCAACUCAUCCGCUGCUUAGUUCCAUUUCAAGGUCUCCAGAUUACCUUCCAUUUUUCCUUUUGCUGACAUUCUUAUUCGGCACAUAUUUUCUUGUUGAGGAUCCUGAAGAAAUUGAUAGUACAACAUAAUCGGGUGAUCUUCUUGCAGUCAAACCUCCGGACUUGAGAGAAGGCACGAAGUUAAACAGAUAUUCGGAUUCACUUGUGUCCCUGUAAUAAUAAAUGAUCCGCCUGACAUCACUAUAGAGUUUCGAAGAACAAAAGUCUUGAAUCAUCUGAUCAAGUCCAAGACAACUAAGAAGCUCAAUAGCUCUUUCACACUUUUCAUCACUUACUCCAAAACUCCCUUGGCAAAAUCUAGAUCCCCAUCUGCCUAACUAUGGCCUUCCAUAUGUUGUGCAAUACUGUGAAGCAACCGUAGAUCCAUAUCUCCC